This 468-nucleotide ribosomal RNA is filed under the name uncultured bacterium. RNAcentral describes it as "partial 16S ribosomal RNA". It matches the Rfam family "Bacterial small subunit ribosomal RNA", at positions 28 to 507 of the family's 1533-position model. The record is from RNAcentral.
GACGAACGCUGGCGGCGUGCUUAACACAUGCAAGUCGAACGGAAAGGCCCUGCUUUUGUGGGGUGCUCGAGUGGCGAACGGGUGAGUAACACGUGAGUAACCUGCCCUGGACUUUGGGAUAACUUCAGGAAACUGGGGCUAAUACCGGAUAGGAGCUCCUGCUGCAUGGUGGGGGUUGGAAAGUUUCGGCGGUUGGGGAUGGACUCGCGGCUUAUCAGCUUGUUGGUGGGGUAGUGGCUUACCAAGGCUUUGACGGGUAGCCGGCCUGAGAGGGUGACCGGCCACAUUGGGACUGAGAUACGGACCAGACUCCUACGGGAGGCAGCAGUGGGGAAUAUUGCACAAUGGGCGGAAGCCUGAUGCAGCAACGCCGCGUGCGGGAUGACGGCCUUCGGGUUGUAAACCGCUUUCGCCUGUGACGAAGCGUGAGUGACGGUAAUGGGUAAAGAAGCACCGGCUAACUACGUG